This 218-nucleotide long non-coding RNA is filed under the name Elaeis guineensis (African oil palm). RNAcentral describes it as "long non-coding RNA (EGUI_LNC005014)". The record is from RNAcentral. Lineage: Eukaryota; Viridiplantae; Streptophyta; Magnoliopsida; Arecales; Arecaceae.
AUCUAAAAAUAAAAAUCACAUCGAUCUCAUUGAUGCUGAAAUUAUAGAUCUAACUAUUAGAUCUACCAUAGGAAUCAAAAUAAGUUAGAGAUUGUUAUUAAAUAAAUUUUGAUCUUGACUUUAUUUGAUCCAAUGAUUAGAGAGGGUGUUCAUCAGAUCGCUUACAGCCACACAAAGUCGUCUGACCUCUAUAGAAAAAUCUACGCAAAGACUAGCAC